RNAcentral lists this ribosomal RNA (776 nucleotides) under uncultured Neocallimastigales. RNAcentral describes it as "partial large subunit ribosomal RNA". It matches the Rfam family "Eukaryotic large subunit ribosomal RNA", at positions 22 to 631 of the family's 3401-position model. Lineage: Eukaryota; Fungi; Neocallimastigomycota; Neocallimastigomycetes; Neocallimastigales. The record is from RNAcentral.
GUACACGCUGUGACUAGCAUAUCAAUAAGCGGAGGAAAAGAAACUAACAAGGAUUCCCCUAGUAACGGCGAGUGAAGCGGGAAGAGCUCAAAUUUGAAAUCUUAAAGGGUUUCCCUUUACGAAUUGUAGUUUAAAGAAGUGUUUUCUGUUGAGGUUUUGGUAAAAGUUCUUUGGAAUAGGACAUCAUAGAGGGUGAGAAUCCCGUAUUUGACCAUUACUUUUCAACUGUGUGAUACACCUUCAAAGAGUCGGAUUGUUUGGGAAUGCAGUCCAAAAUGGGUGGUAAAUUUCAUCUAAAGCUAAAUAUUGGCGAGAGACCGAUAGCGAACAAGUACCGUGAGGGAAAGAUGAAAAGAACUUUGAAAGGAGAGUUAAACAGUACGUGAAAUUGUCAAAAGGGAAGCGUUUGACACCAGUGUUGUUUUUCUGAAAAUCCAAUUAAAGAACUGUUUAUGCUAAGUUGUUUAGACUUUAUCAGCUAACUGUUUAGUUUUGAGCUUUUCUUUAAUGCACUUUUCAGUUAACAAGUCAACAUCAAUUUCUUUUGCUGUAAAAAAGCUUGAGGAAGGUGGCUUGAGAUUCGUCUUAAGUGUUUAUAGCCUCUUGCCUAUGCAGUCGGAGAGAUUGAGGUCUGCAGCGUAGAUCCUUCGGGGCUAAAUGCAUUUGUGCUAAGUUAUAGCAUUUUAUAGACAACUUGUUGACUAUGAUUUGUCUUGUAGCUUACUCGCUUAUGUUAUUUUACCUACGCUUAGGAUGUUGAUCUACAGAGCGAGAGU